GUGAAUAUAUAUAAUUAAUCAGCCCACUUUUGUCUUCCAAAUUCAGCAUCCAAUUCUGCCUUACUGCCAAUUCUGUGCGUGUAUGUAUGAUUAAUUUCAGCAGCUGUGCAGCCCUCAAAUUCUGUCCAGAAAGCAACUUCGGUUUCUACGUAUAUAUUUAAUAGAAUCUCCUCCUUUUCCGUGUAUUGGCUGCCUCUUCUAAUCUGCCGACCAGCCCUUCAAUUUGUAUGAAAUUAUAUAAAUAAUGGCUGACUUCAAUGUGUGUAGAGAUAUAAUAAUGGUUGCUUUCUUGUUUUCCUCCCAGGCUGCCGUUUCUUGUAUGUAUAAUAUCAAUUGAAUCCCAAGGCAGCCCCUCUCUUUUUGCGUGUAAUAUAUCUUCAAUUCACCCCC
Molecule: long non-coding RNA, 390 nt
Filed under: Olea europaea (common olive)
Lineage: Eukaryota; Viridiplantae; Streptophyta; Magnoliopsida; Lamiales; Oleaceae
Description: long non-coding RNA (OEUR_LNC010315)
Source: RNAcentral